GGUUGUGGCUGUGGCUGUGGUGUAGGCCAGUGGCUACAGCCUCGAUUUGACCCUUGGCCUGGGAACCUCCAUAUGACACUGGAGCCGCCCAAGAAAUGGCAAAAAGACAAAAAAAAAAAAAAAAAAAAAAAAAAAAAAAANAAAAAAAAAAUUUACUUGACUGAAGUAGAGUUGAUUUACGAUGUUGUGUUAGUUUCAGGCGUACAGCAAAGUGACUCGUGUAUUUGUGUGUGUGUGUGUGUGUGUACACGUAUCUCUGAUGUGUAUGUAUAUACACACACAUCCUUUUUCAUACUCCUUUCCAGGGUGGUUUGUCACAGGAUGCUGAAUGUAGUUCGCUGUAGGGCAGGAGCCUGUUGUUUGUCCAUCCUGCAUACGUCUGCCUCUGCAAGACCCAAGCUCACUCCCAGUCCUUCCCUGCCCCACCCGCCUCCCCUUCGGCAGCCACAAGUCUGUUCCCUCUGUCCCAGAGUCUGCUUCUGCCUCGUAGACACGUUCGUUUGUGUUGAGUGUUUGUGAAGUUUCGUUAGAGUUGCUUUACGCGGGUGUGAUCAUGUCCGCUCUGCAACAACGUGAUUCAGGGACCCCUGUACCCACAGCCUUUCUCUCCCAGAUUCUCUUCCCACACAGAGGAUCCCAGAAUAUCGGGUAGAGGUCUCUGGGCUGCACGGCAGGUCCCCACUGGCCAGGACAACUCAGCGUACAGAUGCCAGUCCCAAACCCCAGGCUAUCUCUCCUCCCCCACAACUGUCCGCUUUGGUAACCGUACGCUUGUUUUCGAAGUCUGCCUGUCUGUUUCUGUUCUGCAGAUCAGUUUGUGCCACAUUUGAGACGCCACGUAUAAAUGAUAUCAUGUGACAUUUGUCUUCCACUGUCUGACUGACCUCACUUAGCAGGAGCAUCUCUAGGUCCGUCCCUGUUGCUGCAAACGGCAUCAUUUCACUCUUUUUACGGCUAACACUCCAUCGUGUAUAUGGACUACGUCUUCUUGAUCCAGUCCUCUGUUGAUGGACGUUUGGGGUGCUUCCAUGUCUCAGCUGUUCUGCAUAGAGCUGCAGUGAAUACUAGGGCGCACGUAUCUUUGUGAAUUACUGGUUCCUCCAGAGAGAGGCCCAGGCGUGGGAUUGCUGGUGGCAGUUCUGGUUUUAGUUUUUGCGUCCCCUCCGUACUGUUCCCCACAGUGGCAGCACCAGGUGACCUUCCCACCAGCAGUGUAGGUAGGUGGUUUUGUGAUCCCUGGCCUGGAGGACGAGAGUCCAGAGGGAAAGAGAAACUUUCCAUCCCCUCUUCCCUUCCGUGCAGUUCACGGGAUCCACAAACAACGCCUCCGGGAGAGGAACUGUUUUUAUCCUCAACACACUGAGUUGGAACCGCUAUUAAGAAAACUGCACAAGAACCCAGCUGGGAAGUGAAAGAGCCAAAACGCACUCCCACGCCGCGUUACUCCACAGCCUGCUCACUGCCACGUGUUACUACCCCACGGCUACGGGCGAGGGCUCGCUGCCUGGGGGGCACGGCAGCCAGCACCGCAGGCCCAGCUUUUGAGGAAAGAGGAGGCUUUGUUGCCAGGCCCAUGGCCAGGAAACAGGAGGCAGGGCUUCCAUCUGUCUUUCCCGUCCAGGGUUCAGGGUAAAAUUUAAGGGGUUCAGGGGACUUCAGACGUGGAAGCCAAUGGGCUCGUCUCAGUCCGUAGAAGCUGCUGGACGCCAGACUUUCCUCAUUGAAGGACGUCUCCCUUCCUCAAGGGCCCUGCCUGUAACACUUGCAUCCUUUGGGUCGCAGACUGAAGAAUCUUGGUUCCAGGGUCCCCUGAGAACGUGGGUUCCCAGGCUGGGGGUCCAAUCAGAGCUACAGCUGCUGGCCUCCACCACAGCUCACAGCUACGCCAGAUCCGAGCCUUGUCUGUGACCUAAACCACAGCUCACAGCAAUGCUGGAUCCUUCACCCACCAGAGGCCAGGGAUCGAACUUGCAUCCUCAUGGAUCCUCGUCGGCUUCAUUACCACAAGGGGAACUCUCUCGGGUCUCAUUUUAAAACCCAUUCCUGUUGAUGGAUGAGGUCUACGUAUAUCCUCAGGUGUCUUGAGGGACUUGUGAUCCCCCCGCUUCCCCCCCCCACCACACACACACACAGCCCUUCCACACGGAUGGCCGGUUGGGGCUGGAGAAACACAGUUCCCUCCAUCUCUUCAGCACCCCCCACCAGGGGGUGAGAAGCAGCCCUGAGUGUGCAAGGACCUCCCCACCCCUCCGUGUUCGUCUCUCUCCCUUCAUCCUCUCCAUCCCCUGCGUCCAGGACACCUCCGAGCCCUCUCCCUGCACUGUCCCCGCUGAUGAGCAGCAAAACCCCUGGCUGACCACGCUGCCUCCACACCAGCCCUGGACGACUUUCUCCUUUUUAAAAAUCUUCCGCCAUGUUCACUUGACCCAAGGAACCCUUGUGUGACCACGUCGAAGUUUCAUCGGCAUCCCAAGGACAAGCCCCGCGCUCCAGCCUCCGACUCGCUGUGCGGGGGUCUCGGGUGUGCCUCGCAGUGACAGCGCUUCUCCGUCUGAAAGUUACCUUGAUCACAUACCCUUGACACAUUUCAGGAUUUCUUAUGAUCGACGGUGGCGAGAGAGGUUGCCAGCAGCCAAGCGUCCCAAACACACCUUGAAAUGUUUCCAUAACUAGUCGAGUCUGUUUUCCGAAUUGAUUUUACGCCGUUAAGAUGGAAUCAACUGCAAACAUCCCACCCUGUCCGUUGCUGAGCUACAUCUCACGGCAGGGGCAGGUCUUGUCGUGGUGGGGGUGGGUCCUGUGGCGGGGACGGGUCUUGUCACAGUGGGGAUGGGUCUUUUCAUGGCGGGGACGGAUCUUGUUGUUGUGGGGACGGGUCUUUUCAUGGCGGGGAUGGGUCCUGUCAUGGUGGGGACGGGUCUUCUUGUUGUGGGCAUGGGUCCUGUCACAGUGGGGACGGGUCUUUUCAUGUCGGGGAUGGGUCUUGUUGCGGGGAUGGGUCUGGUCACAGCAGGGAUGUGCCAGGGGUUGCAGAUAAAGGGCACUGGUCAGCUUGUAGAUGUUGUGCGUAUGGAGCUGCUGUAUAUAUACCCUUGCAUUCACAUUUUUCUCAGUGUAAGUCCUUUUUUGUAGAUUGAACAGCUCAGAGUGGGAAAUUUGGGUCAAACGGUAAAAGUGUGUUUAAUUAUAAAAGAGAGGGACCAGAGUUCCCUGGUGGCUCAGCGGGUUAAGGAUCCAGCGUUGUCACUGCAGUGGGUUCGAUCUCUGGCCCUGGAACCUCCACAUGCUGCAGGCACGGCCAAAAGAAAUUUUUUAAUAAAAAAUUUUAAAAAGAGACAGACUGUCUUCCUGGUGGAUGCGCCAUUCCACACCCCUCAGCAGCGGUGGGAGUUGCAGCUGCCCCACAACCCUUGGGAGGGUCAGUGGUGCUCCCGAGGCUCCCAGAGGCCAUGUGAUGUCUGACUGCACCCAGCUUCAGUCCUCCCGGGGCUGGUGAUGCAAACCCUUUCAAGUGCCUCCCCAGACCCUUCCUGGUGAACCGUCUGUGCAAGUCUCCUUUUUCAUUUUCUGAUUUUGAUUUCAGGCUGCACCCAUGGCAUGUGAAAAUUCCCAGGCCAGGGAUCAAACCCUCAUCACAGCAGUGACCUGAGCCUCUGCUGUGACAACAUCAGACCCUUAACUCUCUGUGCCACCAGGGAACUCCUGCAAGUCUCUUUUUUUUUUAGAGUAAAAGUGUAUAUAUGUAAGGAGUUCCCAUCGUGGCGCAGUGGUUAACGAAUCUGACGAGGAACCAUGAGGUUUCGAGUUCGAUCCCUGGCCUUGCUCAGUGGGUUCAGGAUCUGGCGUUGGCAUGAGCUGUGGUGUAGGUCGCAGACGCGGCUUGGUUCCCGUGUUGCUGUGGCUGUGGUGUAGGCCGGUAGCUACAGCUCCGAUCAGACCCCUAGCCUGGGAACCUCCAUGUGCCGCGGGUGUGGCCCUAGAAAAGGCAAAAAGACCACAAAAAAGUGCACAUAUGUAAGGUGUACAGCAUGAGUUGUUAUACACACACAUAGUGAAAUGAUUACCACACUAAUUCACAAACACAGUUGCCCUUGAGAGCCCCUGAAAUCUCCCCUCUGAGGAAAUGUCCAGUAUUCCCCACGCUGUUAUUAACCGCAGUCACCGGGCUGCACGCAAGCUCUCCGGACUCACGCACCCCACAGACCUUCAGCCAUCCUCCCCACCACAACCGCAGUUCUACCCCCGGCUUCUAUGCAUUUGCCGUUUUCAACUUCCACGGGUGUGAAAUCUUUUUUUCUUUUUCUUUCUGUGCCUGGCUUAUGUAAUGCACCCUGCUGUCCUCCAAGCUCACCUGUGUUUGUUUCAAAUGGAAGGACCCCUUUCCUGUUUAAGGCUGCGUCAUAUUCCAUCGUACCUGGACCCCACCAUUUCUUUAUCAGUUCGUCUGUCUGUGGACACGUAGGCUGUUCGGAUCUUUUGCCUGCUUGCUGACUGGCUCAUUUGUCUUUAUGCAGAGAUGUCUUCGUUCCUCUCCCCUCACUGAUUUUAUGAGUAAGCACAUGGAAGCACAGAGAGGUUAAGUGACUUGCCUGAAUAUGCACAGCUGAUAACCAGCAGAGCCAGAAAACAGGAAUCCACGCCACCUCCUUGGUGGGAAGAACAGCAGAGAGGAGAGAGGCCCUUACUCCUUGUGAGUGUGUGUGUGUGUGUGUGUGUGUGUGUGUGCACUCAGUUCUGACUUUUACAAACAUGCGGCCAUUCCAUGUUCUGAGACACGCUCCAGACACGGAUUGUUCAAGGAUCUCCACAGGGCCUGGCCGGUACCCACCUCGGGGCCUUUGCACCUGCUAUGCCCUCAGCCAGGAAAGGGGAAGGACUUUCUCUUUCCCGUCAUCCCCUUCUCAUGUCAAGUCUCAGCCCCCACAUCACAGCCUCCGAGGGCCAUGUCCAAACUUACCCUCUGGGGUUGGCUCAUUAAGCUGCUGACCGCCCCUCUUUCCAAGGCGGGUUUAAACUCUACGUGCUCAGGCAGCUUGUUCAGGAUGGGUCAUACUUCAUCCACCACUGGCUCCCGGGAGGGAGGGACCUGGGUGGGCCUGGCCUCACCAGGUGAACCUUCCAAAGCUGAGCCUUGGCUCAGACUGGUCAGCUGCUCCCAGAGAAACACAGAGACAGGGUCCCGCCGGCCUGGACGAGGAAGAAGCAGCUGCGGUUGUGUGCAUCCCUGGAGAAGGACGCAGCCCCCCUCGGACAGGCAGAGAGACGACUCGCCCCCGAGCCCAGCAACCGCAGGGGUAGGUCUGCCUGCAGCCAGGCGGGGGCGUGUGCGCGCGCAUGCGCGUGUGUGCCCUCGGGUAAGGCCCCGGCCUGGAGAACACGGUGACCGACUCAGCGACCCACGCCCGGGACCCUGAGCCGGGAAGCCGGCAUACGGUACCCUUUGUGCCGCCUUAAGCGGCUGAGUCGGUGGUGACUUGUGACACAGCAGCAGAAAACCAGCCCGCCUUCCACGGGCCAUUCCACGGACACUGCCUGACCUGCUCAUGGCUGCCCCCGAAGCCCCCACGCAGGGCGGAGGCAGGGGUCCAGGAGGUCUGCUCGGCCCCCCUCGCACCCCCAGACCCUCGUGAUGGGGGCUUCCGUUCUCGAGUUAGAGGGAACGCUUUGGGGCCAUCGGUGAGUUAUGGGACCAGCCGGGUGUCACAGACCUGGUCCCCAGCCUGGCUUUGCUCCUUCUGGCUGGUGUCAGAAGCUCUGUGACCCCAAGCGGUUCCUUCAUAAAGUGGGGCCCGUUCAGUGCCUUCCCCGUGGGCUCGUGGAAUUGAAUAACUGGAUCUGUUUCUAAAGCACUUGGCACAGGGUCUGGAAACGCCGCCGACCUGUUACCUGAAGUCACUGCAUCCAGACCUGCCCUCCCACAUGUAUAACAUCUGUGCCAGGGCACACGCAGGCGCUGUUAAAUGUCUCUCUCACAUACACACACACACAGAGUCCCAAACAGACACCCUCCCCCUUCCAAAGCCCAGAUCAUCAGCAUUUGUUCAGUAGGCACGUCAUUGACACUGAGCAGCCUCAAGACGCUGUGCAGGACGCAUAGGGCAGCAAACUACAUCCUUGCAAAAUACAGUUGCGAAAUGACCGAUUCUCAAACGGUAGAGGGAACACUGCUUAGACACAGAAGGCAGCGGUACAUUUGCCAGACAGAUGGGGAGCGUCGGCGGGUCCCUCCCUGCUCUGGAAAGCUUGCUCGCCCGCGCGCGCGCGCUGUGCGUGCCAGGCUGCGUUCAAGAGCACCGUUCCCAUCCCCUGGUUGGAAUCUAGCCUGGCCUUCAGCUCGGUGGAAAGGCCGUGGGAUUCUGGAGAGCGGAGGGUCUGUCCUGGCCGCUUGGCCUCGGGUGACAAUUCUUUUUGUUCGAAUCUAAGCAUGGUUGCUCGACAGCCUUGUGCCGGUUUCUGCCGCACAGCAUAGUGACCCACUUGCACACAUGCACACACUCAUUUUCUCACACUGUCUUCCAUCGCAGUCCCUCCCAAGAGACUGGACACGGUUCCCCGUGCUGUACAGCAGGACGUCAUCGCCUAUGCAUUUCCUGUGAAGAUUCUAACGGCUUCUCGCCAUCUGUCCAUAUUCACUGGGGCCCGUCCUGGGUUGAAGGGAGUGAGGCUCUCGGCUUGGGUACAAAUUUUAAGUGUGGGGGUGAGGAGAGUGCAGACAUCUCAGUGAUCAAGAGAGAUAAUUUUUUUUUUUGGUCUUUUUAGGGCCACACCUGCAGCAUAGGGAGGUUCCCAGUCUAGGGGAAUCCAGCUUGGAAUCAGAGCUGUAGCCACCAGCCUACCCCAGAGCCACAGCAAUGCCAGAUCCGAACUGCGUCUGCGACCUACACCACAGCUCACAGCAACACCGGAUCCUUAACCCACUGAGCGAGGCCAGGAAUGGAACUCGCAACCUCAUGGUUCCUGGAUGGAUUCUUUUCCAAUGUACCACGAUGGGAACGCCAAGAGAUAAUAUUUUAAUGCAGCGUUUCCUUAAAAUUUCCCAGUUAAAAUGGUGGGAAAAAUCAACGAGGAAGAAAUGCCCACAUGUUAACGGAAGACGGGCUCUCGCAGGGCUGCGAGUAGGGCAAGGUGAGGCGACGAGUCCUGCAAAGCUCAGGGUGGAAAUGUUGAUGUUGCGCUCCUCACGGACUGGAGGCAUUAUCCUUUCUUUUUUAAGCAAACGGCACUGGCACCGGGGCCUUCUCGUGGCUCAGGAGCCUGAGAAUCAGGCAUGAUCCCUGCAGCAGUUCCCUUCGCUGCUGCAGUGUGGCUGCGCGCCCUGGCCGGGGACUUUCGCGUGCCUCUGCUGCGCAGUAUUGCCCUGAGUCCUGAGGACUCGGCUUCCCUUACGUGGUGCGCCCAGGUGAACACCUCGGGGGCCCGCCAGCCCCUCCCCCCGCAGCAUCUCUGAUCCUUUCUCUCUGUCCCCACCGUGAACACCCUCGUUCUUUCCACCACCGCGUCUGGCUGGAGCCGGCACAGCAAACUCCCCGCCACCCGCUGCAUCCUGGUCUGGACACGACCUCCAAGCUGCUGGCACUGAAACUCGGGGUGACUUCCUCCGCAAACCCUCCCCCCAAAGCCCACUCCCAUCAUCCUCUCCCACCGUCUAGAUGUCUCCCCCCUGCCUCCCCCACCCCCAUCCCCACCAUCGCCCAGUUUGGGUUAUAGCAACUGAUGCUGCUAUUUUCUCACCUCUUUUCAGUUCUCUGCGCCAUUUCCCAGGGUGGGGGACCGGUCACACAAGUGUGAUGUCAUUUCAGAUGGUCCGGCUCCAAGGACAAUUAAACUUUACCAUACAAUGUUAUACCCUUGGGAGUUCCCGUGGUGGCUCAGUGGAUUAAGAACCCGACACAGUGUCUGCGAGGAUGCGGGUUCAAUCCCUGGCCUCGCUCAGUAGGUUAAGGACCUGGCACUGCCACAAGCUGUGACUUAGAUAACAGAUGCGGCUAGGAUCCCGCGUUCCUGUGGCUGUGGUGUAGGUGGGCAGCUGCAGCUCCCACUCGACCCCUCGCCUGGGAACCUCCAUGUGCUGCAGGUGCCACUGUAAAAGGAAAAAAAAAAAAAA
Molecule: long non-coding RNA, 8104 nt
Filed under: Sus scrofa (pig)
Lineage: Eukaryota; Metazoa; Chordata; Mammalia; Artiodactyla; Suidae
Description: lncRNA (ENSSSCG00035021657.1)
Source: RNAcentral